AUAUACUAAUAUAAAAGCAGAGUUUUCUGCAGCAGCCAUUUCCCGCCAAUCAGCCCAGCCUUUAGCCCAAUGGAUUUUGCUUGAUUAUCGUGCACUGGAUUAAGAGAGGGUCUGCAUUUUGGCUCCAACAUCAGCACGAUUUUGAAUUUGAAAUUUGGAGCCCAAAUUUCAGCAGCCAUUUCCCGCCAAUCAGCCCAAUGGAUUUUGCUUGAUUAUCGUGCACUGGAUUAAGAGAGGGUCUGCAUUUUGGCUCCAACAUCAGCACGAUUUUGAAUUUGAAAUUUGGAGCCCAAAUUUCUUUUCAGCCAACUGUUUUCGAAAUUCUAUAAAUACCACUUCAUUAUCUUCUAAUUCUUCACACUUAACUUCUGGGAUUUAACAUUUGUAAUAUUUCUCAUCCUUCUUUUUUCCAAAAAAAUUAUCUGAUUUCGCACUUGCAAUAUUCUUUUGUCUUCUUCGAAAAUUUCUUAUAUGUUUCCUUUUGAAUCAUUUCUCUAAUUGCUGCAGAGAGCCUUUCCAUGGAAAGAGUUAUUCCACUUAUA
Molecule: long non-coding RNA, 542 nt
Filed under: Salvia miltiorrhiza (redroot sage)
Lineage: Eukaryota; Viridiplantae; Streptophyta; Magnoliopsida; Lamiales; Lamiaceae
Description: long non-coding RNA (SMIL_LNC007424)
Source: RNAcentral